RNAcentral lists this long non-coding RNA (446 nucleotides) under Androctonus crassicauda. The record is from RNAcentral. Lineage: Eukaryota; Metazoa; Arthropoda; Arachnida; Scorpiones; Buthidae.
UGUGAUGAGUUAAUGCAAGGCAAGUGUACCGUAGAAUGGUGACGUCAUUAGUUACAGCCAAGUACCUUUCUCCAUGGAUUGCUAUUCUCGUCAUAUGCUGCAGUCGUUUCGAAGAGGUAGCAAAAGUGACGUACCAAUAUAGUAACCAAGUCCGUAAUUUGUUCCAUCCACCAAUAAGCACUAGUGAAGAAACCAAGUUGGCUGAAAGUGAAACCAAAACGCAACGCCAUCAAAUCUAUAGCCUCCAUCUUACUCUCUGCUACCGAUGCUUUACAGCAUUUCUCUAAAUGUUGUAGAUUUACCACGCUGACGUUAGGAAAGCUACUUUAUAAGUCAUAGAAGUAGGACUGCAAGAAUAGCGUUAAUCUUAAACUUUACGAUAAGUUGUUAGCCUACUCGAACAAGGUAAUUACUGCGCGGUACUAGGACCACCAGAAUGGUUGCCU